CGCGUAGGCUGUUUUACAAGUCAGAUGUGAAAUCCCCGAGCUUAACUUGGGAAUUGCAUCUGAAACUGUUGAACUUGAGUCCUGGAGGGGGUAGCGGAAUUCCCAGUGUAGCGGUGAAAUGCGUAGAUAUUGGGAGGAACACCUGCGGCGAAGGCGGCUACCUGGACAGUGACUGACGCUGAGGCGCGAAAGCUAGGGGAGCGAACG
Molecule: ribosomal RNA, 207 nt
Filed under: uncultured bacterium
Lineage: Bacteria
Description: partial 16S ribosomal RNA
Rfam family: Bacterial small subunit ribosomal RNA
Source: RNAcentral